GCAGCUGGUGGAGCUGGUGCAGGAGCAGCUGGUGCUGGGGCUGCAGGAGCCGCUGGUGCCGCUGGUGCAGGAGCAGCUGGUGGAGCCGGUGCAGCAGCAGCUGGUGGAGCUGGUGCAGCCGCGGCUGGUGGAGCCGGUGCAGCCGGUGCAGCCGGUGCAGC
This is a long non-coding RNA of Diprion similis, 161 nucleotides long. RefSeq lists it as uncharacterized. The transcript has 3 exons. The record is from RefSeq and is a predicted model, not a curated record. Lineage: Eukaryota; Metazoa; Arthropoda; Insecta; Hymenoptera; Diprionidae.